AGUUCAAAGUUCUUCAGCCGGAGCAUUAAACACAUGCUUCAAUCGAGCAAAUGAUUGGCAACGAACAGUUUUCAAAUAGAUGCAUCCAGGACUUCCGUGAUGGUAGCUCCAGACGGAAGUACACGGACAGGACAAUCGUGGUAGCUCGUCAACUAGAAAGGAGCCUGACGAAGGAGAAUGAGACGUCGAUGUAAAAUGUGUCAGUCGGAGCAUGUCUGACAACAAACUGCCGGAGGACUUCAGGCGAACUAGAGAAGAAGGAAGUAGAUAUCGUGCAAUAUCAACAUCAAUGGUACAUCAAAUUUUCCCAUAAUUCAAGCGCGUCAGAUAUACGACUGUAAGGCAACGUUGUUGUCUUGCGAGCAAGAAGCACAAGGUCCUCAGUGAUGUAAGUCACGAACGGCCUUCAGUGGUCCCUAUCGUUACAAAAUUCCAGCCGACUAGAUUCGCUUCGCGUUAACUUCUAUGUCUGACUAUUUAUGUGAUUUCAUGUGACCAUGUACACGUUGUAAUUUUCGAGGACAAAUGCAAACGAAAAUUGGUCACUGUAUUAUUUUCAAAAAAGUCCUAAAAUUAUAUUCGUACGCCUUCAAGCUUAUCAAUAUUGUCCUUUAUCUUGUAACCUGUUUUUAAAUGUUAAUUUCCCGUGGGACAUUCACCUACGCGCUGAUGAUUUAACGUUCUGCACAGCUGUGUAUCCGUCACGGAAAUAAGGAAUUCCCGGGGUAGUCAGGAUGACGUCUUCACCGACAUUAGUAUAUCGUUGACCUAUGGGAAAAAGCAUCGCGAUUUCUGCUGACUUGAUACGUAAUAACACCGGCAAUUACAGUUAAUUAACUCACUUCGCUAUUGUUGAUUAUGAACAUUUCAUAAUUGGAAAAUCGUAUAGUGUUACGUCUUUUUUUUAUUAAUUAAACGUAUGAUCGUGAGAAAUGACUUCUUGAAAAUGG
This 950-nucleotide unclassified non-coding RNA is filed under the name Bombus terrestris (buff-tailed bumblebee). Its description in RNAcentral is "misc RNA ENSBTSG00005027027.1". The record is from RNAcentral. Lineage: Eukaryota; Metazoa; Arthropoda; Insecta; Hymenoptera; Apidae.